GACGAACGCUGGCGGCGUGCUUAACACAUGCAAGUCGAACGAAGAGCGAUGGAAGCUUGCUUCUAUCAAUCUUAGUGGCGAACGGGUGAGUAACGCGUAAUCAACCUGCCCUUCAGAGGGGGACAACAGUUGGAAACGACUGCUAAUACCGCAUACGAUCUAAUCUCGGCAUCGAGGAUAGAUGAAAGGUGGCCUCUACAUGUAAGCUAUCACUGAAGGAGGGGACUGCGUCUGAUUAGCUAGUUGGAGGGGUAACGGCCCACCAAGGCGAUGAUCAGUAGCCGGUCUGAGAGGAUGAACGGCCACAUUGGGACUGAGACACGGCCCAGACUCCUACGGGAGGCAGCAGUGGGGAAUCUUCCGCAAUGGACGAAAGUCUGACGGAGCAACGCCGCGUGAGCGAUGACGGCCUUCGGGUUGUAAAGCUCUGUUAAUCGGGACGAAAGGCCUCCUUGCGAAUAGUGAGAAGGAUUGACGGUACCGGAAUAGAAAGCCACGGCUAACUACGUG
RNAcentral lists this ribosomal RNA (510 nucleotides) under uncultured bacterium. Its description in RNAcentral is "partial 16S ribosomal RNA". It matches the Rfam family "Bacterial small subunit ribosomal RNA", at positions 28 to 507 of the family's 1533-position model. The record is from RNAcentral.